CUAAAGGUUUGCGGCUGUAAGUGCACUCACUGCGCCAAACACGGAUUCCAAAUAUGGUUGGGUACCGCCCACUUCCAGGUAGGUACUCGCUAGCAGUAACUGUGCCUGACUGUUCGCUGGUCUGGUAAAUUGCUUGGAGCUCAUUAAGGAUUGAUACGGCGAUUUAAGGAGAUAAUGACAGAAGAGCUUUUUCUAAGGAGCAAAGGGGAAACACACGGUCGUGGUGUAUUUGCAAAGGGUUCCAUUUCUCAAGGAGAUUUCGUUCUCGAAUACAGGGGAGAAUUCCUGUUGUUGAAGCCCAGAGAAGGAGGCUGAUAUACCACGAAUCAUGUACUGCAUUUCUUUUCAUGUUUAGGUGGAGAGGGAAAACAUGGUGGUAAGUAUUUAAGUUGCGCCUAAACUAUACUCUAUACUCUAUUUUAGGUGAGGCUCUGAUUUUGUGGAAUACAUUGUCUGUUAAAUAUGACUGACAAUGUAUUCCAGAAAGUUAAACUGAUUGAGCCAUGUGAUCCUGCAUUGUAACUAUAACAAUUAUUUUUCCAUGAACUUGUCAUGACAUUUAUGUUCCCCUUUCCUCAUGUUUCAUCUUUUUAGUAUCGAUGCCGCCAGAGAUGACUGUUCACUUGGGCGCCUCGUUAACGACGAACACAGGCGUCCAAACUGUAAAAUGAAAAAUAUUGAUGUCAAUGGAAGCCCACAUCUUUGUUUGUUUGCCCUUAUGGACAUAAAACAAGGAGAAGAAAUUUCAUACGAUUAUGGAGGUGAAGACUGCCCAUGGAGAACAGAAACGACCACAGUUGGACCAAAUGCACUGCUGGUAGAAGAUUUGCAUACUGUUGUCCUGGCAAAUACCGAAGUGGGUGAUGCUACUCAUCCAAACAUCGCUCAACAGAUGACCACAGUUGGAGACGAUGCCCUGCCAGAUGGAGGCUCGAAACCUGUCCUUUCAAAUACCGAAGGGGAUGAUGAUGCUACUCGUCCAAAAAUCACUAAACAGAUGACCACAGUUGGAGACGAUGCCCUGCUAGAUGGGGGCUCGAAACCUGUCCUUUCAAAUACCGAAGGGGAUGAUGAUGCUACUCGUCCAAAAAUCACUCAACAGAUGACCACAGUUGGAGACGAUGCCCUGCUAGAUGGGGGCUCGAAACCUGUCCUUUCAAAUACCGAAGGGGAUGAUGAUGCUACUCGUCCAAAAAUCACUAAACAGGUACAUUCAUGUUUAUCACUUCAAAUGUAAUUAUAGUCUCUCUCAUAGCCUUGCUUUUUCAGUUUUUGUGUUUUUAAAGCUAGCCAAAAUAGGAAAGGAAGUAUAUUUUGGUUGUGUUCUGGUUUAAAUGAAUACAGCCAAAAAGUUUGAUGCAAUGCAACUAUAAGAUGUAUGGUCGUGGGAUAUUUAAAAUAUAUUUUAACCUUCAGAGGGACUUUCUUUCUAGGUUAAUUAUCACUCUAUUCUGGACACUCACGACGUCCCCACAACACACCUUUUAGUCAGUGUUUGGCUAGAAGCUUUGGGUGAAACGUUGGAGACAACUGGUCCCCACGAGGAACAUUAACAUUGUGUUUGAAAUGUCCCCACAAAGCAUGUUAUUAAAGUGUGAUCUCAGAAAGAGCUGGGCUGGGCAGGAACAGAUAUUUGUGUUUUGAUAUCAAUGAUUGAU
RNA transcript from Gadus macrocephalus (Pacific cod), 1658 nucleotides. RefSeq lists it as uncharacterized. The record is from RefSeq and is a predicted model, not a curated record. The transcript is spliced from 6 exons. NCBI's taxonomy places the organism in Eukaryota, Metazoa, Chordata, Actinopteri, Gadiformes, Gadidae.